Molecule: ribosomal RNA, 320 nt
Filed under: uncultured bacterium
Lineage: Bacteria
Description: bacterial SSU rRNA
Rfam family: Bacterial small subunit ribosomal RNA
Source: RNAcentral
AACGAACGUUAGCGGCGCGCUUAACACAUGCAAGUCGUGCGAGAAAGGGCUUCGGCCCCGGUAAAGCGGCGCACGGGUGAGUAACACGUAGGUAACCUACCCCCAGGUGGUGGAUAACCUUCCGAAAGGAGGGCUAAUACAGCAUGAGACCACGCCCUCGCGAGAGGAUGAGGUAAAAGUCGGCCUCUUCAUGAAAGCUGGCGCCAGGGGAAGGGCCUGCGGCCCAUCAGCUAGUUGGUAGGGUAAUGGCCUACCAAGGCUAAGACGGGUAGCUGGUCUGAGAGGAUGAUCAGCCACACUGGAACUGAGACACGGUCCAG